GGGCCCCCGUUGUGUAGCGGCCUAGCACGCCGCCCUCUCAAGGCGGUAGCGCCGGUUCGAAUCCNNNGAUUCA
Molecule: transfer RNA, 73 nt
Filed under: Streptomyces sp. Root264
Lineage: Bacteria; Bacillati; Actinomycetota; Actinomycetes; Kitasatosporales; Streptomycetaceae
Description: tRNA-Glu
Source: RNAcentral